RNAcentral lists this ribosomal RNA (628 nucleotides) under uncultured Bacteroides sp. Its description in RNAcentral is "bacterial SSU rRNA". It matches the Rfam family "Bacterial small subunit ribosomal RNA", at positions 89 to 715 of the family's 1533-position model. Lineage: Bacteria; Pseudomonadati; Bacteroidota; Bacteroidia; Bacteroidales; Bacteroidaceae. The record is from RNAcentral.
UGACGACCGGCGCACGGGUGAGUAACACGUAUCCAACCUACCAUCCAUCACGGGGAUAGCCUUUCGAAAGAAAGAUUAAUACCCGAUAGUAUAGCGAUAAGGCAUCUUAUUGCUAUUAAAGAAUUUCGGUGUUUGAUGGGGAUGCGUUCCAUUAGAUUGUUGGUGAGGUAACGGCUCACCAAGUCUUCGAUGGAUAGGGGUUCUGAGAGGAAGGUCCCCCACAUUGGAACUGAGACACGGUCCAAACUCCUACGGGAGGCAGCAGUGAGGAAUAUUGGUCAAUGGACGAGAGUCUGAACCAGCCAAGUAGCGUGAAGGAUGAAGGCCCUAUGGGUCGUAAACUUCUUUUAUAGGGGAAUAAAGUGCGGAACGUGUUCCGCUUUGUAUGUACCCUACGAAUAAGGAUCGGCUAACUCCGUGCCAGCAGCCGCGGUAAUACGGAGGAUCCGAGCGUUAUCCGGAUUUAUUGGGUUUAAAGGGAGCGUAGGUGGACGUAUAAGUCAGUUGUGAAAGUUUGCGGCUCAACCGUAAAAUUGCAGUUGAUACUGUAUGUCUUGAGUGUACAAGAGGUGGGCGGAAUUCGUGGUGUAGCGGUGAAAUGCUUAGAUAUCACGAAGAACUCCGAUUG